RNAcentral lists this ribosomal RNA (441 nucleotides) under uncultured bacterium. Its description in RNAcentral is "partial 16S ribosomal RNA". It matches the Rfam family "Bacterial small subunit ribosomal RNA", at positions 338 to 795 of the family's 1533-position model. The record is from RNAcentral.
CCUACGGGAGGCAGCAGUGGGGGAUAUUGCACAAUGGGGGAAACCCUGAUGCAGCGACGCAGCGUGGGGGAAGAAGUAUUUCGGUGUGUAAAGCCCUAUCAGCAGGGAAGAAAGAAGACGGUACCUGACUAAGAAGCCCCGGCUAACUACGUGCCAGCAGCCGCGGUAAUACGUAGGGGGCGAGCGUUAUCCGGAUUCACUGGGUGUAAAGGGAGCGUAGACGGCCGUGCAAGCCAGGAGUGAAAGCCCGGGGCCCAACCCCGGGACUGCUCUUGGAACUGUGCGGCUGGAGUGCGGGAGGGGCAGGCGGAAUUCGUGGUGUAGCGGUGAAAUGCGUAGAUAUCAGGAGGAACACCGGCGGCGAAGGCGGCCUGCGGGACCGCGACUGACGUUGAGGCUCGAAAGCGUGGGGAGCGAACAGGAUUAGAUACCCGAGUAGUC